RNAcentral lists this ribosomal RNA (497 nucleotides) under uncultured bacterium. RNAcentral describes it as "partial 16S ribosomal RNA". It matches the Rfam family "Bacterial small subunit ribosomal RNA", at positions 28 to 507 of the family's 1533-position model. The record is from RNAcentral.
GAUGAACGCUGGCGGCGUGCCUAAUACAUGCAAGUCGAGCGGACGGACGAGAAGCUUGCUUCUCUGAUGUUAGCGGCGGACGGGUGAGUAACACGUGGAUAACCUACCUAUAAGACUGGGAUAACUUCGGGAAACCGGAGCUAAUACCGGAUAAUAUUUUGAACCGCAUGGUUCAAAAGUGAAAGACGGUCUUGCUGUCACUUAUAGAUGGAUCCGCGCUGCAUUAGCUAGUUGGUAAGGUAACGGCUUACCAAGGCAACGAUGCAUAGCCGACCUGAGAGGGUGAUCGGCCACACUGGAACUGAGACACGGUCCAGACUCCUACGGGAGGCAGCAGUAGGGAAUCUUCCGUAAUGGGCGAAAGCCUGACGGAGCAACGCCGCGUGAGUGAUGAAGGUCUUCGGAUCGUAAAACUCUGUUAUUAGGGAAGAACAUAUGUGUAAGUAACUGUGCACAUCUUGACGGUACCUAAUCAGAAAGCCACGGCUAACUACGUG